AGAAUGACACAACGUGGCGCUGCACCAAUGAACAAAUGUAUUCAUUAACCGACCAAAAUAUUUUAACUUCAUGUCCUCGAUAUUAUAUAGUAGUUGUGUGAAAAUUUAUUAAAUAUGUAGGUAUGAGAUAUUACAAUUCUCAUUUUAUUACAGCAUUAUUUUAAUCGAUUUAUCUUUGAACUUGCAAAACUAAUAGAUCACUUACGAAUAUAAAGAUGUAUAUAUCAAACGUGUGCAUGUAUAACUAUACUAAGUGCUUAUGUAACUUAAAUGGACAUGUUGAAUAAUAUUGAAGAUAUUAUAAUGGGAAAAUGGAGGAAGGCGGAAGGGUCAAAGUUCGACAGACAAAUGCUAAUGGCAAUGACAAUGAAGAAAUAAGAAAAUGGCCGGCAUUGUGUGACGCGAAUCCGUAUAUAGUGGAUCUUUUAAAUAAUCUUUUCAAAAAAAAAGAAACAAUCAAUGAAUCAUCAUCAAAUACUUAAAAUUCAGAUUAAUGAUUUUUUUUUAUUAUAAGCUUUUAAAUGUCAUUAAAAUAAUCAGUCAAAAUAAAUCAUACACAAAUUACU
Molecule: long non-coding RNA, 566 nt
Organism: Vespa velutina
Lineage: Eukaryota; Metazoa; Arthropoda; Insecta; Hymenoptera; Vespidae
Exons: 2
Source: RefSeq, a predicted model, not a curated record